UCCCUGGUGGUCUAGGGGUUAAGGAUUCAGCUUUGUGAAUGCUGCGGCUUGGGUUUGAUCCCUGGCCUGGGAA
This 73-nucleotide transfer RNA is filed under the name Sus scrofa (pig). It matches the Rfam family "tRNA". Rfam says of the family: Transfer RNA (tRNA) molecules are approximately 80 nucleotides in length. Their secondary structure includes four short double-helical elements and three loops (D, anti-codon, and T loops). Further hydrogen bonds mediate the characteristic L-shaped molecular structure. tRNAs have two regions of fundamental functional importance: the anti-codon, which is responsible for specific mRNA codon recognition, and the 3' end, to which the tRNAs corresponding amino acid is attached (by aminoacyl-tRNA synthetases). tRNAs cope with the degeneracy of the genetic code in two manners: having more than one tRNA (with a specific anti-codon) for a particular amino acid; and 'wobble' base-pairing, i.e. permitting non-standard base-pairing at the 3rd anti-codon position. Lineage: Eukaryota; Metazoa; Chordata; Mammalia; Artiodactyla; Suidae. The record is from Rfam by way of RNAcentral.